GACCCCGGGUCACGGAGCCGGGAGAAAGAGCCAAGAUCCAGGGCAAGGUGCACGUGUCCCCAGACGUGUGACCAGCUGACCACCACUGUGCAUUCCAUGACAGCAAAAGCCAGGAGAAAGCCCGAUCACACUAACAGCCGAGUGUCUGCAGAGCAUGUUUUCUCAACUCAGAACUAUUGACAUUUGGGGCCAGAGAGAAUACAUCCUCCUCUUUUCAUCCUCCUUGCUGGUUGGAAUGCAGAUAUACUGGCCAGAAUCUGAGUGGCUACCUUGGGCUAUGGUGGAGCAACAAGAGAAAAGGAACCUGAACCCCCAAUGAGUUUAUGAAGUCACCCCACUAGCCCUGGGCUGCU
This is a long non-coding RNA of Pteronotus mesoamericanus, 353 nucleotides long. RefSeq lists it as uncharacterized. The record is from RefSeq and is a predicted model, not a curated record. The transcript has 3 exons. Lineage: Eukaryota; Metazoa; Chordata; Mammalia; Chiroptera; Mormoopidae.